UGGGGAAUAUUGCACAAUGGGCGCAAGCCUGAUGCAGCAACGCCGCGUGAGGGACGACGGCCUUCGGGUUGUAAACCUCUUUUGGCAGGGAAGAAGCGAAAGUGACGGUACCUGCAGAAAAAGCACCGGCUAACUACGUGCCAGCAGCCGCGGUGAUACGUAGGGUGCAAGCGUUGUCCGGAAUUAUUGGGCGUAAAGAGCUCGUAGGCGGUUUGUCGCGUCUGCUGUGAAAACCCGAGGCUCAACCUCGGGCCUGCAGUGGGUACGGGCAAACUAGAGUGCGGUAGGGGAGAUUGGAAUUCCUGGUGUAGCGGUGGAAUGCGCAGAUAUCAGGAGGAACACCGAUGGCGAAGGCAGAUCUCUGGGCCGUAACUGACUCUGAGGAGCGAAAGCAUGGGGAGCGAACA
RNAcentral lists this ribosomal RNA (407 nucleotides) under uncultured bacterium. RNAcentral describes it as "bacterial SSU rRNA". It matches the Rfam family "Bacterial small subunit ribosomal RNA", at positions 355 to 774 of the family's 1533-position model. The record is from RNAcentral.